Molecule: transfer RNA, 76 nt
Filed under: Dehalococcoidia bacterium
Lineage: Bacteria; Bacillati; Chloroflexota; Dehalococcoidia
Description: tRNA-Ala
Rfam family: tRNA
About the family: Transfer RNA (tRNA) molecules are approximately 80 nucleotides in length.
Source: RNAcentral
GCCCCCGUAGCUCAAUUGGAUGAGCAGCUCUCUUGCGAAAAGCCGGAUGCGGGUUCGAGUCCCGCCGGGGGCACCA